Molecule: long non-coding RNA, 908 nt
Filed under: Jatropha curcas
Lineage: Eukaryota; Viridiplantae; Streptophyta; Magnoliopsida; Malpighiales; Euphorbiaceae
Description: long non-coding RNA (JCUR_LNC001186)
Source: RNAcentral
CCAGCAGUUUCACAGUGCACAGUGACAAAAGAAAAUCCUUGUGCGGGAACCUCUGGUUCACCAUUGCUGAAGGACCCAUCAAAAGUAGUUUCUCUAAAACCAGAUCUGCUAGAAACCUUGCCACCUUCAGAACCAUCCAUUAACAGCAACAGUGAGACUGCUAAAGUUGAUAAUGCUAAUGUCACAGCUGGAGCCAAAAGUGACUGUCUUCAGGCAUCCAAAAACACUCUGGCUGGAAACCUUGGCACAAAUGAUACCUCAGAAAAAGUAACUGGAUGUUUAUUGCCAUACAAUAUGUUGUUUUCUUGUUUUCUCAUUUUGUUGUUCCACCUGUGAUCUAACUUGUAAAUUCACGUUUCCAUUCAGAAGCUCUUAAAUCUGGGAACAAUGGAAGUUCCAAUACUGUCUCUAUCUGUGGAUUCUGGUGAAAAAAUGUUGAAUAAGAUAGACUAUGUAAAAUCGCCAAACAAACCUAGUUGUGAAAGUGGUCAGGUGAACUCACAUCUGAAUUCUUUUUCAUGCCUUAUAAUCAUAAUUAGGUCAAGUCUUGACCUUUUCCUCUUCCUUUUUCAGGGUGAAUGCAUUGCCAGUAGUAGUGCUGCUGGAAAUUCAUUUGGUGAUCAGGCUGGUGAUAGUGUUGAACAAAUUGGGAAUGAGAUUGUUCAGUCAUCAUCAGCAUCAGUCGUACCAAAUGAAUCUCUACAGAAGAAAGUUCCUGAUUCCUCACCUCAACAGAAGUUAAAAAAGAAACUUUUGAAGCACGGGAUUCCAAACAUGCAUCUACAAAAAUUCUUUAGAGCAUCUUUGGGGCUACGGAAAAAGAAAAAACAUAAAAAGAGCAAGCGUUGCACUUUAGAGACCCAAUACCUUAUUAAAGAACAGUUGCUGGAGAGUAAUUGCUUUUCUUC